Molecule: ribosomal RNA, 439 nt
Filed under: uncultured bacterium
Lineage: Bacteria
Description: partial 16S ribosomal RNA
Rfam family: Bacterial small subunit ribosomal RNA
Source: RNAcentral
CUACGGGUGGCAGCAGUGAGGAAUAUUGCACAAUGGGGGAAACCCUGAUGCAGCAACGCCGCGUGGAGGAUGACGCAUUUCGGUGUGUAAACUCCUUUUAUAUGUCAAGAAAAUGACGGUAGCAUAUGAAUAAGCACCGGCUAACUCCGUGCCAGCAGCCGCGGUAAUACGGAGGGUGCAAGCGUUACUCGGAAUCACUGGGCGUAAAGGAGGCGUAGGCGGGUUGGUAAGUCAGGUGUGAAAUCCUACAGCUUAACUGUAGAACUGCACUUGAAACUACCAACCUAGAGUAUGGGAGGGGGAGAUGGAAUUAGUGGUGUAGGGGUAAAAUCCGUAGAUAUCACUAGGAAUACCGAAAGCGAAGGCGAUCUCCUGGAACAUAACUGACGCUAAGGCGUGAAAGCGUGGGGAGCAAACAGGAUUAGAUACCCUAGUAGUC